This is a small nuclear RNA of Saimiri boliviensis boliviensis (Bolivian squirrel monkey), 108 nucleotides long. NCBI's taxonomy places the organism in Eukaryota, Metazoa, Chordata, Mammalia, Primates, Cebidae. The record is from Ensembl.
GUGUUCGCUUCGGCAGCACUUAUACUCAAAAUUGGAGCGGUACAGAGAAGAUUAGCACGGCCUCUGCGCAAGGAUGACAUGCAAGUUCGUGAAGUGUCCCAUAUAUAA